Molecule: ribosomal RNA, 347 nt
Filed under: uncultured bacterium
Lineage: Bacteria
Description: bacterial SSU rRNA
Rfam family: Bacterial small subunit ribosomal RNA
Source: RNAcentral
AGUCGAACGGAGCGCCGGACACGGACUAUUUCGGUAGGAAGCGUGCGGAGGCUUAGUGGCGGACGGGUGAGUAACGCGUGGAUAACCUGCCGCAUACCGGGGGAUAACAGCUGGAAACAGCUGCUAAUACCGCAUAUGCCCGCAGUGCUGCAUGGCACAGCGGGGAAAACUCCGGUGGUAUGCGAUGGGUCCGCGUCUGAUUAGGCAGUUGGCGGGGUAACGGCCCACCAAACCGACGAUCAGUAGCCGGCCUGAGAGGGCGGACGGCCACACUGGGACUGAGACACGGCCCAGACUCCUGCGGGAGGCAGCAGUGGGGAAUAUUGCACAAUGGGGGAAACCCUGAU